CCUACGGGUGGCAGCAGUUAGGAAUUUUGCGCAAUGGGGGAAACCCUGACGCAGCAACGCCGCGUGAGUGAUGAAGGCCUUCGGGUUGUAAAGCUCUUUUAGCAGGAACGAAUACAAUGACGGUACCUGCAGAAAAAGCACCGGCUAACUCCGUGCCAGCAGCCGCGGUAAUACGGAGGGUGCAAGCGUUAUUCGGAUUGACUGGGCGUAAAGCGCAUGUAGGUGGUUUGCUAAGUCUGGUGUGAAAUCCCUGAACUCAAUUUAGGAAGUGCACUGGAUACUGGCGGACUGGAGUAUCGGAGAGGAGAGCGGAAUUCCUGGUGUAGAGGUGAAAUUCGUAGAUAUCAGGAGGAACAACGGAGGCGAAGGCGGCUUUCUGGACGAUAACUGACGCUGAGAUGCGAAAGCGUGGGGAGCAAACAGGAUUAGAUACCCGAGUAGUC
Molecule: ribosomal RNA, 443 nt
Filed under: uncultured bacterium
Lineage: Bacteria
Description: bacterial SSU rRNA
Rfam family: Bacterial small subunit ribosomal RNA
Source: RNAcentral